ACGGGAGGCAGCAGUGAGGAAUAUUGGUCAAUGGGCGAGAGCCUGAACCAGCCAUGUCGCGUGGAGGAAUAAGGAUCUAUGGUUCGUAAACUCCUUUUGCGGGGGGAUAAAGUGCGGGACGCGUCCCGUUUUGUAGGUACCCCGCGAAUAAGCAUCGGCUAACUCCGUGCCAGCAGCCGCGGUAAUACGUAGGGAGCAAGCGUUAUCCGGAAUUACUGGGUGUAAAGGGAGUGUAGGCGGGACUGUAAGUCAGAUGUGAAAUAUGCCGGCUCAACUGGCAGACUGCAUUUGAAACUGCGGUUCUUGAGUGAAGUAGAGGUAAGCGGAAUUCCUAGUGUAGCGGUGAAAUGCGUAGAUAUUAGGAGGAACAUCAGUGGCGAAGGCGGCUUACUGGGCUUUAACUGACGCUGAGGCUCGAAAGCGUGGGGAGCAAACAGGAUUAGAUACCCUGGUA
Molecule: ribosomal RNA, 454 nt
Filed under: uncultured Ruminococcus sp.
Lineage: Bacteria; Bacillati; Bacillota; Clostridia; Eubacteriales; Oscillospiraceae
Description: partial 16S ribosomal RNA
Rfam family: Bacterial small subunit ribosomal RNA
Source: RNAcentral